CAGUAGCCGCGGGAAUACAGAGGGUGCAAGCGUUAAUCGGAAUUACUGGGCGUAAAGCGCGCGUAGGUGGUUUGUUAAGUUGGAUGUGAAAGCCCCGGGCUCAACCUGGGAACUGCAUCCAAAACUGGCAAGCUAGAGUACGGUAGAGGGUGGUGGAAUUUCCUGUGUAGCGGUGAAAUGCGUAGAUAUAGGAACGAACACCAGUGGCGAAGGCGACCACCUGGACUGAUACUGACACUGAGGUGCGAAAGCGUGGGGAGCAAACAGGAUUAGAUACCCCUGUAGUCCCUGUCUCUUAUAC
RNAcentral lists this ribosomal RNA (301 nucleotides) under uncultured bacterium. Its description in RNAcentral is "partial 16S ribosomal RNA". It matches the Rfam family "Bacterial small subunit ribosomal RNA", at positions 509 to 807 of the family's 1533-position model. The record is from RNAcentral.